ACCAGUUUAAAAUAAUCUCUGCUGUGUUUAUUCACCAGUAAGGUAUUCCUGUCCACAGCUCAGGGUGCUGCUGCGCCAUCUGCUGGUCGUCAUAGGAAACAAUCACCUGCUGGCCUCUCGACCAACAGGAGCGCAAGAGUUUAUCUCCGAACAGGGAUAGGAUGUACUCAACAAGGCGAAUGUGAUCUGUGAGAGUCAGCGAUUCAAAAUGCGAGCAGCAGACGAUCACGAUCUCUUUUGGAUGAGCAUCCAACCAGCAGGUUGAAGUUGGACUCUGGGAAACUGUGAUGGACAUUUUCUACUAUGGAUCAGGCCGACCAGCUGCCCUCCAGAGCCGGUAAACUUCAACUUUACUACUUUAUUUUCUUUUAUUCAGGAGCUCGAACAUAAAGCAAAGCUGGGAACUAAAACUAGUCAAUUCCUUCAAAAUAAAACUACACUAAAACUACUUCAUCACUUGUUAA
This is a long non-coding RNA of Scomber japonicus (chub mackerel), 464 nucleotides long. RefSeq lists it as uncharacterized. NCBI's taxonomy places the organism in Eukaryota, Metazoa, Chordata, Actinopteri, Scombriformes, Scombridae. The record is from RefSeq and is a predicted model, not a curated record. The transcript is spliced from 3 exons.